RNAcentral lists this non-coding RNA (26 nucleotides) under Drosophila melanogaster (fruit fly). Lineage: Eukaryota; Metazoa; Arthropoda; Insecta; Diptera; Drosophilidae. The record is from RNAcentral.
GCCUCAGGGACAUUGACCGUAGCACC